AAAACAUAAGCUACACCCACCACAACAAUUCCCAAUUAUCUCUCUCACUCUCUAAGCCACGUCUCUCUCUAAGUUAGGGCUCUUGAACUUGAUAACUUUCAGCGUUCUAUCUCAAAAAUUGACGACAGUGGAGUGUUAACGACAGCGAUGAAUGACGGUAUUGAAGGUGAAUCAAGAAAUUUCCAUCUUCACUCACAUCUUCACUGAUUCAAGGAAUAUGAAAAUGGGGAAAAAGAGUGCCCUUUUAUUGAUGUCAACGAAAAAACGCAUAGGAAGAAAAAUAAGGACGGUACAAGAGGAGAUUGGGUAGAAACGCGUGCUAAGAAUGCAUAUGAAGAAUUUCAAAAAAGCAUAGAAGAGUGGUGUCAAACCCAACUACGAGGACGAUAAUGAAUCUAAUGAUAAUUAGAUUGUAGUUAUUGUUCUUGUUUUUGGUUGUGACAUUUAUAUGUUUAAAUUAUUUGAUUUGAUGUUUGUUUUGAAUGGUUUAAAGUGGUUGUAUUUAUAAACUUUUGUCGUGUUUGAUC
Molecule: long non-coding RNA, 527 nt
Organism: Capsicum annuum
Lineage: Eukaryota; Viridiplantae; Streptophyta; Magnoliopsida; Solanales; Solanaceae
Exons: 3
Source: RefSeq, a predicted model, not a curated record